UUGGCUUAUUUGUAAUAUGGCACGGGUGG
Molecule: non-coding RNA, 29 nt
Filed under: Rattus norvegicus (Norway rat)
Lineage: Eukaryota; Metazoa; Chordata; Mammalia; Rodentia; Muridae
Source: RNAcentral